AACCUGCCUUCAGGAUGGGGACGAACAGACGGAAACGACUGCUAAUACCGAAUACGUUCCACGGCCGCAUGACCUGUGGAAGAAAGGGUAGCCUCUACCUGUAAGCUAUCGCCUGAAGAGGGGUUUGCGUCUGAUUAGGCAGUUGGUGGGGUAACGGCCCACCAAACCAACGAUCAGUAGCCGGUCUGAGAGGAUGAACGGCCACACUGGAACUGAGACACGGUCCAG
This 228-nucleotide ribosomal RNA is filed under the name uncultured Veillonellaceae bacterium. RNAcentral's name for it is "partial 16S ribosomal RNA". It matches the Rfam family "Bacterial small subunit ribosomal RNA", at positions 123 to 334 of the family's 1533-position model. The record is from RNAcentral. Lineage: Bacteria; Bacillati; Bacillota; Negativicutes; Veillonellales; Veillonellaceae.